Molecule: ribosomal RNA, 415 nt
Filed under: uncultured Acidobacteriota bacterium
Lineage: Bacteria; Pseudomonadati; Acidobacteriota
Description: bacterial SSU rRNA
Rfam family: Bacterial small subunit ribosomal RNA
Source: RNAcentral
GUGCCAGCAGCCGCGGUAAUACGGGGGGGGCAAGCGUUGUUCGGAAUUACUGGGCGUAAAGGGCUCGUAGGCGGCCAACUAAGUCAGACGUGAAAUCCCCAGGCUCAACCUGGGAACUGCGUCUGAUACUGGACGGCUCGAGUUUGGGAGAGGGAUGUGGAAUUCCAGGUGUAGCGGUGAAAUGCGUAGAUAUCUGGAGGAACACCGGUGGCGAAGGCGGCAUCCUGGACCAACACUGACGCUGAGGCGCGAAAGCUAGGGGAGCAAACGGGAUUAGAUACCCCGGUAGUCCUAGCCCUAAACGAUGAAUGCUUGGUGUGGCGGGUAUCGAUCCCUGCCGUGCCGAAGCUAACGCAUUAAGCAUUCCGCCUGGGGAGUACGGCCGCAAGGCUAAAACUCAAAUGAAUUGACGGGA